AAGAUUCUAGUGUAAAGAAAACACACUGCUUUGUCAAGGCAGGGUUGUGGGUUAAACCCCCACGUAUCUUA
RNAcentral lists this transfer RNA (71 nucleotides) under Odontobutis interrupta. RNAcentral's name for it is "tRNA-Asp". It matches the Rfam family "tRNA". From Rfam's summary of the family: Transfer RNA (tRNA) molecules are approximately 80 nucleotides in length. Their secondary structure includes four short double-helical elements and three loops (D, anti-codon, and T loops). Further hydrogen bonds mediate the characteristic L-shaped molecular structure. tRNAs have two regions of fundamental functional importance: the anti-codon, which is responsible for specific mRNA codon recognition, and the 3' end, to which the tRNAs corresponding amino acid is attached (by aminoacyl-tRNA synthetases). tRNAs cope with the degeneracy of the genetic code in two manners: having more than one tRNA (with a specific anti-codon) for a particular amino acid; and 'wobble' base-pairing, i.e. permitting non-standard base-pairing at the 3rd anti-codon position. RNAcentral also lists the same sequence under 1 other name. The record is from RNAcentral. Lineage: Eukaryota; Metazoa; Chordata; Actinopteri; Gobiiformes; Odontobutidae.